Molecule: transfer RNA, 83 nt
Filed under: Felis catus (domestic cat)
Lineage: Eukaryota; Metazoa; Chordata; Mammalia; Carnivora; Felidae
Also listed under: 3 other names
Rfam family: tRNA
About the family: Transfer RNA (tRNA) molecules are approximately 80 nucleotides in length.
Source: Rfam by way of RNAcentral
GCCUGGGUGGCUCAAUCGGUUGAGCUUCUGACUUGGGCUCAGCAUGAUCUCACGGUUUGUGGGUUCAAGUCCUGCAUCGCGCU